GCUGUUCAUGGCAUUACUACCCCCUAAAACAGCAAAGAACAUUCAACUGGAUGGAAUGUUUCGUCUACCCAAGCCUCAGUCCAACACAGCCCCAACCACCGGCGACCUCCUGGUUAAGUUUCAAAACGGGCAAGACAAAGCAGCCAUCUUACAAGCUACCAGAGGGAAGACCCCAUAUCACUUUGAAGAAAUGGACCUCACGUUCUUUGCUGACCUCUCCCGCUCGACGUUGCAGUGGAGGAGGUCGCUGAGACCACUGGCAUCCACGCUUACAUCCCAAGGCAUAAAGUUUCACUGGGGCACACCUCGUGCGCUGACUUUCCAACAUAAUGGUGUGGAACACAGAGUCACGGAGGCAUCUGAAAUGGACGCUAUCCUGUCCUCCCUGAAACCGAGCCCUGACCCUCGACCCACGAACCCCACCUGGAACCCCGCUACCGUGGUUCCGUUCACUCCAGCAUCUCGAGGACCAAAGGGCGCACCUGUCACCUGAACACGGAACCAUCUGUGUUGGGACCUGUACCCUCUCUUUUUCUAAUAAGUUACCGGCAUUUUAUUUUUAUGUCUUAGUUAAGGUUAAAACGUUGUGCUUUACUUAGGAACCACUCCCCUCCCCAUACCGCAUACGGCGGAACGACCGUACGGGUCGACAAUGGGCGAAAGGAGACCCACCUAUCCACCCUAAUUACGUCCAUCCUACCCUCCCCCCCCCAGCUCCAGCUCUUCUUGACCCACACAUAAACAGUUGGCGGAGCUACCUCACUAAAAAGCUUGAGACACCAUACCAAGUUACUUGAUCCUUAAGGAUCCGCUAUUUUAAGCUACCCUACACCACAGUGGUCCUACUUACGUGCCCUCACCCUGUACUAUUUCUCGGGCCUACUACUUAGUCCAAACAGGGCUCCACAUCCCGGUAGGAAGCGGGAUCACUAAAAAUUAAAAUGAUCUCUCACUUGUUUGCCCAACGUGUACCUCCCAAUAUAUCACUGCCAUUGAUCGAUCCGCUUCUUGC
Pelobates cultripes (western spadefoot toad) is the source of this 1012-nucleotide non-coding RNA. The record is from the annotation of a GenBank genome assembly. NCBI's taxonomy places the organism in Eukaryota, Metazoa, Chordata, Amphibia, Anura, Pelobatidae.